UGACAGUGAUUGACCAUUGGCAGCUGGGUC
Molecule: non-coding RNA, 30 nt
Filed under: Homo sapiens (human)
Lineage: Eukaryota; Metazoa; Chordata; Mammalia; Primates; Hominidae
Source: RNAcentral